Podarcis raffonei (Aeolian wall lizard) is the source of this 564-nucleotide long non-coding RNA. RefSeq lists it as uncharacterized. The record is from RefSeq and is a predicted model, not a curated record. Lineage: Eukaryota; Metazoa; Chordata; Lepidosauria; Squamata; Lacertidae. The transcript has 2 exons.
CCUGCUUACAAGCCAGUUAGGGUUGUGAACUUUUGCCCAUUUAAACAUGUUCCCAUCCCACUGCACCUUUCAUUUUUUUAAAAGGCAGCCUUGACCUGUACUGAAAACUGGAGUUCUGAUUACAGAGUUGCCAUGGAAACCUCGCCUUUCUCACCUAAGCUAUUCAUUGGCUGCCUGACCUGGCACAAACCUUUUCUUGUUCUGUGUUCUCCUUAUGUGACAUGGCAGGGCUAUCAAUGAUCUGCACCACCGAGAGGUUCAGUAGCGAGCUGUGGCUCACGUAUUUCUGAUGUGUACAGAAUCACAGAAUUGUAAGUUGGAAGGGACCCAAAGGAUCAACCCCAUCAAAUACAGGAAUCCUACACAAAGCGCUCUCUCCGUGGGCUUGAACCACCAACCUUCUGGCUCACAGCCAGCCACACUGACCUGUUUGUGCCACCUGAGAUGCCUCACAUCCAGUUAGAACCUGAAAUACUCCUAGUGUCUCAUACAGUCGAAUGAACUUGGAGUCUGAUGAGCAAGGCUGCUGCUGUCUUACUACAAUAAAUCAUUUUAACACCUAAA